This 496-nucleotide ribosomal RNA is filed under the name uncultured bacterium. RNAcentral describes it as "partial 16S ribosomal RNA". It matches the Rfam family "Bacterial small subunit ribosomal RNA", at positions 28 to 507 of the family's 1533-position model. The record is from RNAcentral.
GAUGAACGCUGGCGGCGUGCCUAAUACAUGCAAGUCGAGCGAACAGACGAGGAGCUUGCUCCUCUGACGUUAGCGGCGGACGGGUGAGUAACACGUGGAUAACCUACCUAUAAGACUGGGAUAACUUCGGGAAACCGGAGCUAAUACCGGACAAUAUAUUGAACCGCAUGGUUCAAUAGUGAAAGACGGUUUUGCUGUCACUUAUAGAUGGAUCCGCGCCGCAUUAGCUAGUUGGUAAGGUAACGGCUUACCAAGGCAACGAUGCGUAGCCGACCUGAGAGGGGGAUCGCCACCCCUGAACUGAGACACGGUCCAGACUCCUACGGGAGGCAGCAGUAGGGAAUCUUCCGCAAUGGGCGAAAGCCUGACGGAGCAACGCCGCGUGAGUGAUGAAGGUCUUCGGAUCGUAAAACUCUGUUAUUAGGGAAGAACAAAUGUGUAAGUAACUAUGCACGUCUUGACGGUACCUAAUCAGAAAGCCACGGCCAACUACGUG